RNAcentral lists this unclassified non-coding RNA (158 nucleotides) under uncultured Holwaya. RNAcentral's name for it is "sequence contains ITS1". Lineage: Eukaryota; Fungi; Ascomycota; Leotiomycetes; Helotiales; Helotiaceae. The record is from RNAcentral.
AUGAGAACUUGCCCUUCGGGGUAGAUCUCCCACCCUUUGUAUACUUACUUUGUUGCUUUGGCAUACCUGCUUUCGGGCUACAGGCUUCGGCUUGUUCGUGUAUGCCGAAGAUACCAAAACUCUGUUUAAAAUGUCGUCUGAGUACUAUAUAAUAGUUA